Molecule: RNA transcript, 867 nt
Organism: Pyrus x bretschneideri (Chinese white pear)
Lineage: Eukaryota; Viridiplantae; Streptophyta; Magnoliopsida; Rosales; Rosaceae
Exons: 5
Source: RefSeq, a predicted model, not a curated record
AAUCUAGAAACCAAAUCUAUCUAGAUUUACAUGAUCACACAUCAAGUAAUAUUCAUAACAAAUUCAACAAAGUUGUGGACGGUUUUACGGGGUUAAAUAUUGUCCAACGAGUUAGACUCUGAGUGAUAAUUUUAUUUGUAAGAAAAUAGUUUGUGGGAAAUAAACCAAAAUUUAAAAAUUUAAGUUGCGAUUUGUGCAAUUUUCUCGAAAAAGAAAACAAUGAAAGAACUAUCCACACGGCCGCUUUUCCGAUUCGAAAGGCAGUGAUAGAUGGCAGUCAGAAGCCUGAGCUCACUACCAGCCGUCCGAUUCGAAGCCUCAAAAUCAAACGGUGCUCCUCCUCCGCCUCUUCCUCCGCCGCGGAAUCCAGAGCCGCGGCCCCGACUCUCCCUCUCCAAGCCCUCUUGGGUCGUCCGUGCAGAGUCAAAUGUUCACAGAGAAGUAAGGAAGAAACCGGAUCCUCCUUGUGAGGUCUGCACUGGGAGUGGAAGGGUCAAUUGCCAUGACUGUUGCGGAAGAGUUCUAAGGCAUACAACAAAUAUAGUUCAGUCUGCCAGAAAUAUUGAAGUUAUACCAGAAGUGCAGUCAAAAGCGACUAAAGAGAUGUUUCUAGAUUUAUCAUUUUCCCACAGAAAUCUGAUGGUUUUUGAGAGAAUGGUUGAGAUUCAAAAGUUUUACCAUCAGCAUAUGCCACUGAAGUUUUCAAUCCUGAAGUCAAGAAAUCGAUGAAGGACAAAUUUUAUUGACAUGAAAAUGCUCCCCAAAGGAGAAUGGCCAAAAUGGUGCAGGACUUGCGGUGGAAGUGGUCUCGGUUACUGCUCCCGCUGCCUUGGGACUGGUGAGUAUCGGUAUAUUAUGGGAUUUCAG